UGGGGGAUAUUGCACAAUGGGCGAAAGCCUGAUGCAGCGACGCCGCGUGGGGGAUGAAGGCUUUCGGGUUGUAAACCUCUUUCGCUAUCGAACAAGGCCCGCUUAGGGUGGGUUGAGGGUAGGUGGAGAAGAAGCGCCGGCUAACUACGUGCCAGCAGCCGCGGUAAUACGUAGGGCGCGAGCGUUGUCCGGAAUUAUUGAGCGUAAAGGGCUUGUAGGCGGCUUGUUGCGCCUGCUGUGAAAACGCGGGGCUUAACUUCGCGCGUGCAGUGGGUACGGGCAGGCUUGAGUGUGGUAGGGGUGACUGGAAUUCCAGGUGUAGCGGUGGAAUGCGCAGAUAUCUGGAGGAACACCGAUGGCGAAGGCAGGUCACUGGGCCAUUACUGACGCUGAGGAGCGAAAGCAUGGGUAGCGAACAGG
This 420-nucleotide ribosomal RNA is filed under the name bacterium. RNAcentral describes it as "partial 16S ribosomal RNA". It matches the Rfam family "Bacterial small subunit ribosomal RNA", at positions 355 to 776 of the family's 1533-position model. The record is from RNAcentral.